This 466-nucleotide ribosomal RNA is filed under the name uncultured bacterium. RNAcentral's name for it is "partial 16S ribosomal RNA". It matches the Rfam family "Bacterial small subunit ribosomal RNA", at positions 28 to 507 of the family's 1533-position model. The record is from RNAcentral.
GAUGAACGCUGGCGGCGUGCUUAACACAUGCCAGUCGAACGAAGAGGCCCAGCUUUUUGGGUGGAUUCGUGGGGAGCGGGUGAGUGACACACGAGUAACCUGCCCUCAUCUCUGGGUUAAGCCUUGUAGACUGGGUGUAGUACAGGAUAGAAGAGUUCAUGACACGGUGGGUGUUGUAGAGAUUUAGGGGUUUUGGGUGGACUCUCGGUUUAUCAGCUCGUUGGUGAGGUAUUGGUUGACGAAGGGGAUGACGGGUAGACGGCCUGAGAGGGGGACCGGCGACAAUGGGACUGAGAGACGGCCCAGACUCCUACGGGAGGCAGCAGGGGGGAAUAUUGCACAACGGGCGCAAGCCUGAUGCAGCGACGCCGCGUGCGGGAUGACGGCCUUCGGGUUGUAAACCUCUUUCAGUGGGGAAGAAGCGAAAGUGACGGUACCUGCAGAAGAAGCACCGGCUAACUACGUG